Molecule: ribosomal RNA, 253 nt
Filed under: uncultured bacterium
Lineage: Bacteria
Description: partial 16S ribosomal RNA
Rfam family: Bacterial small subunit ribosomal RNA
Source: RNAcentral
UACGUAGGGGGCGAGCGUUGUCCGGAUUUAUUGGGCGUAAAGAGCGUGUAGGCGGCCAGGUAGGUCUGCUGUGAAAACUCGAGGCUCAACCUCGAGACGUCGGCGGAAACCAUCUGGCUAGAGUCCGGAAGAGGAGAGUGGAAUUCCUGGUGUAGCGGUGAAAUGCGUAGAUAUCAGGAAGAACACCAAUGGCGAAAGCAGCUCUCUGGGACGGUACUGACGCUGAGACGCGAAAGCGUGGGGAGCAAACAGG